Molecule: RNA transcript, 2503 nt
Organism: Orcinus orca (killer whale)
Lineage: Eukaryota; Metazoa; Chordata; Mammalia; Artiodactyla; Delphinidae
Gene: NPTN
Gene name: neuroplastin
Exons: 10
Source: RefSeq, a predicted model, not a curated record
GGCCGGGAGCGAAGGUCUCGCGAGGCUUGGGCGCUGCGGCGGUAGGAGGACGGGGAAGGACGGAGCCGAGCCACGGCUGCCUCCCUCGCUCUCUCCCUCGAGCGCUCGCCCGCCCCCUCCCUCCCUCCCCUCCCUUCCCCGGCCCCGGCUCCGGCCUCGGCCCGUUCGCUGUUCGGUCUUCUGCAGGGAGAAUGUCGGGCUCGUCGCUCCCCAGCGCCCUGGCCCUCUCGCUGUUGCUGGUCUCUGGCUCCCUCCUCCCAGGGCCAGGCGCCGCUCAGAACGCUGGGUUUGUCAAGUCGCCCAUGUCAGAAACUAAGCUCACUGGGGACGCCUUUGAGCUGUACUGUGACGUGGUCGGGAGCCCCACGCCAGAGAUCCAGUGGUGGUACGCAGAAGUCAACCGGGCAGAGUCUUUCAGACAGCUGUGGGACGGUGCUCGGAAGCGCCGUGUCACCGUAAACACCGCCUACGGGUCAAACGGCGUGAGUGUGCUGAGAAUAACCCGGCUCACCUUGGAGGACUCUGGGACUUACGAGUGCAGGGCCAGCAACGACCCCAAGAGGAAUGACUUGAGGCAAAACCCUUCCAUAACAUGGAUUCGAGCCCAGGCCACCAUAAGCGUCCUUCAGAAGCCAAGGAUUGUCACCAGUGAAGAAGUCAUUAUUCGAGAAAGCCCUGCGCCCCCUGUCACCCUGCAGUGUAACCUCACCUCCAACUCUCACACCCUUACAUACAGCUACUGGACAAAGAAUGGGGUAGAACUGACUGCCACUCGUAAGAAUGCCAGCAACAUGGAAUACAGGAUCAAUAAACCGAGAGCUGAGGAUUCAGGCGAAUACCACUGUGUAUAUCACUUUCUCAGUGCUCCUAAAGCAAAUGCCACCAUUGAAGUAAAAGCUGCUCCUGACAUCACUGGCCAUAAACGGAGUGAGAACAAGAAUGAAGGGCAGGAUGCCAUGAUGUACUGCAAGUCAGUUGGCUACCCCCACCCAGAGUGGAUCUGGCGCAAGAAGGAGAACGGUAUGCCCAUGGAGAUUGUCAAUACCUCUGGCCGCUUCAUCAUCAUCAAUAGGGAGAAUUACACUGAGCUGAGCAUCACAAACCUGCAGAUCACAGAAGAUCCUGGCGAGUAUGAAUGUAAUGCUACCAACUCCAUUGGCUCUGCCUCCGUUGUCACCAUCCUCAGGGUACGGAGCCACCUGGCCCCACUCUGGCCCUUCCUGGGAAUUCUGGCAGAAAUCAUCAUCCUUGUGGUGAUCAUUGUUGUGUAUGAAAAGAGGAAGAGGCCAGAUGAAGUUCCUGACGAUCAUCAGGCAGAUUGAGCUUGAGGAGAAUCCAAGUCAAGCCUAGAAGCCACCCCAAGAUCGCAGGCCACCUGGCCUUUCAGGCAGAUUUAAGACGAUGAACCAGCUGGGCCAAUGAAAACCAACUCUACCAACAAUCACAAAGAUAAAAACUUGCGCCAGAGAAACACAAAUUAAGUACUACUUGUAACAUCCUGAGGUUCCUGAAACUGGUGGCAACAUGACCUGCUAAAUUUUCUGCUUGUACCUCUUUGGUUCUUUCCCUUUCAAGUGAGCAGCACCAUGAUGACUGUCUAAAGCAUGCCUUAUUUAGCCUCUCCUGUAAGGGUGACCUAGCCAGGUACAUUUUAAACAAUGCUUCAGUGUAGAAGGUGUAAACUAUUUUGGGCUUGAUGUGCUGUGAAUGUUGCUUUUUUUUUUUCCCCCCUUUGGUAGAAUAUUUAAAUAGAAGUAAAAAGGUCCUCUGAGGAUCAGAUCAUGCAUGCACCGUUUUUUACUUAAUGCAGCUGUUAAAUUGGCAAAGCUCUAAAAUGCACUGCUGCCAUCUAGUGACACAUUUUUGUAAAGUACAGCAAAACCUACAGAUAUAUACAGUAUAUAAAUAUAUAUAUAUAUUUAUAUUUUUGGGGUGGGAGAAAUCCAAAAUAAAAUAAAUGCUUGUUUCAUUUUUAAGCUGCUGAUACUCAUUCCUUAUAUGUUGUCAGAUGAGGAAACUGUUCAGUUCUGGUACAUAAAGAUGAGUAAUAUAAACUGAAAUCUAUAAUUUUAAGGGCUUAACCUAUGACUUUGAUAAGAAGCUGGAACAGUCCACUGAAUGGAUGUAAUGAACUGCAGUAUAUAUGUAUGAUUGCUUUUUAAGUGAUUAUUUUUUCUUUUGUUAAAUCAUGUAAAUUCUUAGAUCCUUUUGCACUGAUGUGUUGAACCUGAUUGUACAUUCAAUUAAGGCAAACUUUUAUAAUUUACCUUUUGUUUUCAAUGACCUUGAAAUGUUACAGCAUGGUAUUCUAUGCAACUAGUUAUACUUUGAGGUUGACACUGUAUUUUUUCAUUGAUUGAGUGUAGAUUUUCACACCCGGCAGGGUUCUCACACGGUGCGUAAUGGUAGAUGCAUGUACUUGUGUUUUGUGUAAUUGUUGAAGUGCAAUGAUGUAUAAAAAAGUGGAUUCACCUGUUUUUAAAAAUAAAACUGAUAAAAGGUG